UAAAGCAAAGACUGAUUAUUCAA
RNAcentral lists this non-coding RNA (23 nucleotides) under Arabidopsis thaliana (thale cress). The record is from RNAcentral. Lineage: Eukaryota; Viridiplantae; Streptophyta; Magnoliopsida; Brassicales; Brassicaceae.